Non-coding RNA from Malus domestica (apple), 565 nucleotides. NCBI's taxonomy places the organism in Eukaryota, Viridiplantae, Streptophyta, Magnoliopsida, Rosales, Rosaceae. The record is from RefSeq and is a predicted model, not a curated record.
UAGGAAAUCUAAAAACCUAUCCUUGGAUUCCUUUUAAAACCCAUCCCAUGCACUUCUCUGCAUUAUUCCACUUUCAGCUAUCCCAUCCCUUCUUUAUUUUCUGUUCCCUCAAUCAGAAAAGCAUCUCUCUCUCUCUCUCUUCUCCCUCUCCCACGCCACAUUUCUUCUUCUUCUUCUUCUUCAUCUCUGCAACCUUCACAAAACAUACCAAAACUCACAAACAUGAAAAACAAAUUACACCAUUGUGAUCAUCUCAGUCCCACGAUCACAACCAUGUCCUUGAAAUCUGGUGUGGACGAGUUUUGACUCACCAACUCGGAAGGUCGACUCAGUGAGUUCGACAUAUCGAUUUUCAGGCCAUGCAUGGCUUAGGACCUAGAUAGCUGUACUCUCUGUGGCACUCGAGGAAUCACGGCAGUUCUAACAUUUCCUUCUGUUUAGACGUACAAACUUAUCACUAUUAUGUAAUAAGUGUACUUUGGCUGCUUUGACUACUCUUUCGUAGUCUCACUGUCUAUUACGCUCUGAAUAAUUGUAGUGGGUUCAACCCACGAAUUGCACACUC